This 465-nucleotide ribosomal RNA is filed under the name uncultured bacterium. Its description in RNAcentral is "partial 16S ribosomal RNA". It matches the Rfam family "Bacterial small subunit ribosomal RNA", at positions 339 to 795 of the family's 1533-position model. The record is from RNAcentral.
CUACGGGGGGCUCCAGUGGGGAAUAUUGGACAAUGGGGGAAACCCUGAUCCAGCAAUGCCGCGUGUGUGAAGAAGGCCUGCGGGUUGUAAAGCACUUUCGGUUGGGAGGACUGCUUCUAGCACUAAUAUUGUUGGAAGUUGACGUUACCUUCAGAAGAGGCACCGGCUAACUCCGUGCCAGCAGCCGCGGUAAUACGGAGGGUGCAAGCUUUAAUCGGAAUUACUGGGCGUAAAGCGCGCGUAGGCGGCUAGAUCAGUCGGGUGUGAAAGCCCCGGGCUUAACCUGGGAACUGCAUCCGAUACUGUCUAGCUUGAGUACAGGAGAGGAGAGUGGAAUUCCACAUGUAGCGGUGAAAUGCGUAGAUAUGUGGAGGAACACCAAUGGCGAAGGCAGCUCUCUGGCCUGAUACUGACGCUGAGGUGCGAAAGCGUGGGGAGCAAACAGGAUUAGAUACCCGCGUAGUC